GCAGAGGUGGUGGAAUUGGCAGACACGAUAGUUUGAGGGACUAUUGCUCGCAAGAGUAUGAGGGUUCGAGUCCCUUCCUCUGCACCA
RNAcentral lists this transfer RNA (87 nucleotides) under Wansuia hejianensis. Its description in RNAcentral is "tRNA-Leu". It matches the Rfam family "tRNA". Rfam says of the family: Transfer RNA (tRNA) molecules are approximately 80 nucleotides in length. Their secondary structure includes four short double-helical elements and three loops (D, anti-codon, and T loops). Lineage: Bacteria; Bacillati; Bacillota; Clostridia; Lachnospirales; Lachnospiraceae. The record is from RNAcentral.